CGCUAGCUACAGGCUUAACACAUGCAAGUCGAGGGGCAGCAUGUCGGUUGCUUGCAACCGAUGAUGGCGACCGGCGCACGGGUGAGUAACGCGUAUCCAACCUACCCUUGUCCAUCGGAUAACCCGUCGAAAGGCGGCCUAACACGAUAUGCGGUUCUCAGCAGGCAUCUAACGAGAACGAAAUGUGAAGGAGAAGGAUGGGGAUGCGUCUGAUUAGCUUGUUGGCGGGGUAACGGCCCACCAAGGCAACGAUCAGUAGGGGUUCUGAGAGGAAGGUCCCCCACAUUGGAACUGAGACACGGUCCAAACUCCUACGGGAGGCAGCAGUGAGGAAUAUUGGUCAAUGGACGGAAGUCUGAACCAGCCAAGUAGCGUGCAGGAUGACGGCCCUAUGGGUUGUAAACUGCUUUUAUACGGGGAUAAAGUGAGUCACGUGUGGCUUAUUGCAGGUACCGUAUGAAUAAGGACCGGCUAAUUCCGUGCCAGCAGCCGCGGUAAUACGGAAGGUCCGGGCGUUAUCCGGAUUUAUUGGGUUUAAAGGGAGCGUAGGCCGUUUGUUAAGCGUGUUGUGAAAUGUCGGGGCUCAACCUGGGCAUUGCAGCGCGAACUGGCAGACUUGAGUGCGCGGGAAGUAGGCGGAAUUCGUCGUGUAGCGGUGAAAUGCUUAGAUAUGACGAAGAACUCCGAUUGCGAAGGCAGCCUGCUGUAGCGUAACUGACGCUGAAGCUCGAAAGCGUGGGUAUCGAACAGGAUUAGAUACCCUGGUAGUCCACGCGGUAAACGAUGGAUGCUCGCUGUUUGCGUCUGACGUAAGCGGCCAAGCGAAAGCGUUAAGCAUCCCACCUGGGGAGUACGCCGGCAACGGUGAAACUCAAAGGAAUUGACGGAAGGG
RNAcentral lists this ribosomal RNA (892 nucleotides) under uncultured bacterium. RNAcentral describes it as "bacterial SSU rRNA". It matches the Rfam family "Bacterial small subunit ribosomal RNA", at positions 34 to 921 of the family's 1533-position model. The record is from RNAcentral.